This 241-nucleotide ribosomal RNA is filed under the name uncultured bacterium. Its description in RNAcentral is "partial 16S ribosomal RNA". It matches the Rfam family "Bacterial small subunit ribosomal RNA", at positions 14 to 245 of the family's 1533-position model. The record is from RNAcentral.
GUAUCAUGGCUCAGGAUGAACGCUAGCUACAGGCUUAACACAUGCAAGUCGAGGGGCAGCAUGAACUUAGCUUGCUAAGUUUGAUGGCGACCGGCGCACGGGUGAGUAACACGUAUCCAACCUGCCGAUGACUCGGGGAUAGCCUUUCGAAAGAAAGAUUAAUACCCGAUGGCAUAGUUCUUUCCGCAUGGUAGAACUAUUAAAGAAUUUCGGUCAUCGAUGGGGAUGCGUUCCAUUUAGG